RNAcentral lists this ribosomal RNA (521 nucleotides) under vouchered mycorrhizae (Glomus). RNAcentral's name for it is "SSU rRNA". It matches the Rfam family "Eukaryotic small subunit ribosomal RNA", at positions 557 to 1078 of the family's 1831-position model. The record is from RNAcentral. Lineage: Eukaryota; Fungi; Glomeromycota; Glomeromycetes; Glomerales; Glomeraceae.
CAGUCUGGUGCCAGCAGCCGCGGUAAUUCCAGCUCCAAUAGCGUAUAUUAAAGUUGUUGCAGUUAAAAAGCUCGUAGUUGAAUUUCGGGGUUAGUAGGUUGGUCAUGCCUCUGGUAUGCACUGGCCUCACUGAUUCCUCCUUCCUGAUGAGCCGUAAUGCCAUUAAUUUGGUGUUGCGGGGAAUUUGGGCUGUUACUUUGAAAAAAUUAGAGUGUUUAAAGCAANGCUAACGCUUGAAUACAUUAGCAUGGAAUAAUGAAAUAGGACGUUCGAUCCUAUUUUGUUGGUUUCUAGGAUUGACGUAAUGAUUAAUAGGGAUAGUUGGGGGCAUUAGUAUUCAAUUGCCAGAGGUGAAAUUCUUGGAUUUAUUGAAGACUAACUACUGCGAAAGCAUUUGCCAAGGAUGUUUUCAUUAAUCAAGAACGAAAGUUAGGGGAUCGAAGACGAUCAGAUACCGUCGUAGUCUUAACCAUAAACUAUGCCGACUAGGGAUCGGAUGAUGUUAAUUUUUUAAUGACUCA